AUGGCCGGCGGCGAAGAGACGGCGGCCGCGGCGGAGGCGGAGAUGGAUCUGGAGUUCUCGCGCGGCGCGGAUGUGCCCAGCUUCGAGUUCGCCUUCAAUUCGGAGAAGUUCUCCGACAAGGUGCUGCAGGUAGAGGUCGUCGCCGGCGACGACGGAGGAGGAGGACCCCUCCCUGACUCAGUGCGCCACAUUAAGGGGCAAGCCAUGUCAGGUACACAAAUUUUAACAGUAAAGGCCCUUCAUAUCAAUUCAGCGAUUCUUGCUGCAAGAAGUCCUUUCUUUCUAAAGCUCUUCUCAAAUGGCAUGAAAGAAUCUGAUCAGAUGCGUCCAAGAAUUAGGAUUGCCAAUUCAGAGCAAAUUGCCCUUAUGGAGGUUUUAAGCUAUAUGUACAGUGGAAAAUUGACAACAGCUGAGCCCACUCUUCUGCUCGACAUCUUGAUGGUUGCGGACAAGUUUGAGGUUAUUUCUUGCAUGAGGCGUUGUAGUCAGCUGCUCACAAACUUGCCUAUGACAACAGAAUCUGCACUGCUCUGCAUAGACCAUCCUUGCUCGACUUCAUUGGCCGCUGAGGUCCAACAUGUUAUAAGCGUUGCAAAGGAAUUCCUUGCCGACAAGUACAAGGAUUUUGAUAAGUUCAGACGUGAACUGGUGAAUAUUUCUCUUGCUGGGAUGGAAGCUAUCUUUUCAAGUACUGACAUGCAUGUGAGCUGUGAAGAUGACUUAUAUUACUUCAUGCUUGAGUGGGUCCGUGCAAGAUACCUAGAUUCAGAGGAAAGACGUGGGAUCUUGAGUUCUCGUUUGCUGCCGCUAGUUCGCUUCAGUCAUAUGACAUGUACGACACUUGAGAAGAUCCUAGCAUGCACUGAUAAUGAUAUAGACCAUGAGCAAGUAACUAAGCGUAUUACCGAGGUGCUUCUACACAAAGCUUACCCAAGACAGAUGGAAAAUGCUCUUAGUACACAAACCGGUUGGCAAUUUGCUGAGCGUGCUUACAAGUACAAACCUGUGAAAUUGGUUGCUUUUGAUCGACCCUGCCCACAGGUUACAGUUUACUUGGAUCUAACGCGUGAGGAGUGCUCUCGACUCUUCCGGUCUGAACAUAUAUGCUCGCACCCGUUCCAGCUUGGAGGGCGGGACUUUUAUCUUGUCGCAUUCUGUGAAAUGGAUGAGCAGAGUAAUUUGUGCACUUUUGGCCUCUGCUUAGUAGAAUGGAAGAAUAUGAAGGGUUCAUCAGAUUUGACCAUCGAUAUUGAGUUUGCUGCAAGGACUAGAUUGUCAGGAAAAUUCGUAAGCAACUUGGAGGUUAAGGUUAUCUUCAGUUUGUCAGAUUGGGUACAUGGAUCCGUGGAUCUUUUUGGCGUUCCAUGGUCGACGUUCAUAUCUGACGACAACCUCUUCAUCAACGGGGUGCUGCAUCUGAGAGCUGAUUUGAGGUUGGCCGUUGGGCAGAUGGGUUUACAAUCUUGA
This 1467-nucleotide ribosomal RNA is filed under the name Triticum aestivum (bread wheat). RNAcentral's name for it is "partial small subunit ribosomal RNA". The record is from RNAcentral. Lineage: Eukaryota; Viridiplantae; Streptophyta; Magnoliopsida; Poales; Poaceae.